Molecule: non-coding RNA, 1214 nt
Organism: Mus caroli (Ryukyu mouse)
Lineage: Eukaryota; Metazoa; Chordata; Mammalia; Rodentia; Muridae
Source: RefSeq, a predicted model, not a curated record
AUGAGCAGCGAGGCCGAGACCCAGCAGCCGCCCGCCGCCCCUGCCGCCGCCCUCAGCGCCGCCGACACCAAGCCCAGCUCCACGGGCAGCGGCAAGGGUUGUGGCGGCCCGGGCGGCCUCACAUCGGCGGGGACAAGAAGGUCAUCGCAACGAAGGUUUUGGGAACAGUCAAAUGGUUCAAUGUAAGGAACAGAUACGGUUUAAUCAACAGGAAUGACACCAAGGAAGACGUAUUUGUACACCAGACUGCCAUAAAGAAGAAUAACCCCAGGAAGUACCUUCGCAGUGUAGGCGAUGGAGAGACUGUGGAGUUUGAUGUUGUUGAAGGAGAAAAGGGUGCGGAGGCAGCAAAUGUUACAGGCCCUGGUGGAGUUCCAGUUCAAGGCAGUAAAUACGCAGCAGACCGUAACCAUUAUAGACGCUAUCCACGUCGUAGGGGUCCUCCGCGCAAUUACCAGCAAAAUUACCAGAAUAGUGAGAGUGGGGAAAAGAACGAGGGAUCGGAAAGCGCUCCUGAAGGCCAGGCCCAACAACGCCGGCGAAGGUUCCCACCUUACUACAUGCGGAGACCCUAUGCGCGUCGACCACAGUAUUCCAACCCCCCUGUGCAAGGAGAAGUGAUGGAGGGUGCUGACAACCAGGGUGCAGGAGAGCAAGGUAGACCAGUGAGACAGAAUAUGUAUCGGGGUUACAGACCACGAUUCCGAAGGUAUGGUUACAGACCACGAUUCCGAAGGGGCCCUCCUCGCCAAAGACAGCCUAGAGAGGAUGGCAAUGAAGAGGACAAAGAAAAUCAAGGAGAUGAUACCCAAGGUCAGCAGCCACCUCAACGUCGGUAUCGCCGCAACUUCAAACCGACGCAGACGCCCAGAGAACCCUAAACCACAAGAUGGCAAAGAGACAAAAGCAGCCGAUCCACCAGCUGAGAAUUCGUCUGCUCCCGAGGCUGAGCAGGGUGGGGCUGAGUAAAUGCCGGCUUACCAUCUCUACCAUCAUCCGGUUUGGUCAUCCAACAAGAAGAAAUGAAUAUGAAAUUCCAGGAAUAAGAAAUGAACGAAGAUUGGAGCUGAAGACCUUAAGUGCUUGCUUUUUGCCCGCUGACCAGAUAACAUUAGAACUAUCUGCAUUAUCUAUGCAGCAUGGGGUUUUUAUUAUUUUUACCUAAAGAUGUCUCUUUUUGGUAAUGACAAACGUGUUUUUUAAGAAAAAAAAAA